CCUACGGGAGGCAGCAGUGGGGAAUAUUGCACAAUGGGGGAAACCCUGAUGCAGCGACGCCGCGUGAGCGAUGAAGUAUUUCGGUAUGUAAAGCUCUAUCAGCAGGGAAGAAAAUGACGGUACCUGACUAAGAAGCCCCGGCUAACUACGUGCCAGCAGCCGCGGUAAUACGCAGGGGGCAAGCGUUAUCCGGAUUUACUGGGUGUAAAGGGAGCGUAGACGGCGAUGCAAGCCAGAUGUGAAAGCCCGGGGCUCAACCCCGGGACUGCAUUUGCAACUGUAUAGCUGGAGUGUCGGAGAGGCAGGCGGAAGUCCUAGUGUAGCGGUGAAAGGCGUAGAUAUUAGGAGGAACACCAGUGGCGAGGGCGGACUGCUGGACGAUGACUGACGUUGAGGAUCGAAAGCGUGGGGAGGAAACAGGAUUAGAUACCCAGUAGUC
This 439-nucleotide ribosomal RNA is filed under the name uncultured bacterium. Its description in RNAcentral is "partial 16S ribosomal RNA". It matches the Rfam family "Bacterial small subunit ribosomal RNA", at positions 338 to 795 of the family's 1533-position model. The record is from RNAcentral.